RNAcentral lists this ribosomal RNA (558 nucleotides) under uncultured bacterium. RNAcentral's name for it is "bacterial SSU rRNA". It matches the Rfam family "Bacterial small subunit ribosomal RNA", at positions 339 to 917 of the family's 1533-position model. The record is from RNAcentral.
CUACGGGAGGCAGCAGUGGGGAAUCUUGCACAAUGGAGGAAACUCUGAUGCAGCGAUGCCGCGUGAGUGAAGAAGGCCCUUGGGUUGUAAAGCUCUUUCGUCGGGGAAGAAAAUGACUGUACCCGAAUAAGAAGGUCCGGCUAACUUCGUGCCAGCAGCCGCGGUAAUACGAAGGGACCUAGCGUAGUUCGGAAUUACUGGGCUUAAAGAAUUCGUAGGUGGUUGAAAAAGUUAGUGGUGAAAUCCCAGAGCUUAACUCUGGAACUGCCAUUAAAACUUUUCAGCUAGAGUAUGAUAGAGGAAAGCAGAAUUUCUAGUGUAGAGGUGAAAUUCGUAGAUAUUAGAAAGAAUACCAAUUGCGAAGGCAGCUUUCUGGAUCAUUACUGACACUGAGGAACGAAAGCAUGGGUAGCGAAGAGGAUUAGAUACCCUCGUAGUCCAUGCCGUAAACGAUGUGUGUUAGACGUUGGAAAUUUAUUUUCAGUGUCGCAGGGAAACCGAUAAACACACCGCCUGGGGAGUACGACCGCAAGGUUAAAACUCAAAGGAAUUGACGGA